GUAGCGAGGCUACAUACAGUAGAGGCUAUAUACAGUAGAGAGGCUAUAUACAGUAGAGAGGCUAUAUACAGUAGAGAGGCUAUAUACAGUAGAGAGGCUAUAUACAGUAGAGAGGCUACAUACAGUAGAGAGUCUAUAUACAGUAGAGAGGCUAUAUACAGUAGAGGCUAUAUACAGUAGAGAGGAUAUAUACAGUAGAGGCUAUAUACAGUAGAGAGGCUAUAUACAGUAGAGAGGCUAUAUACAGUAGAGAGGCUAUAUACAGUAGAGAGGCUAUAUACAGUAGAGAGGCUAUAUACAGUAGAGAGGUUAUAUACAGUAGAGAGGCUAUAUACAGUAGAGAGGUUAUAUACAGUAGAGAGGCUAUAUACAGUAGAGAGGAUAUAUACAGUAGAGAGGCUAUAUACAGUAGAGAGGCUAUAUACAGUAGAGAGGCUAUAUACAGUAGAGAGGCUAUAUACAGUAGAGAGGCUAUAUACAGUAGAGAGGCUAUAUACAGUAGAGAGGCUAUAUACAGUAGAGGCUAUAUACAGUAGAGGCUAUAUACAGUAGAGAGGCUAUAUACAGUAGAGGCUAUAUACAGUAGAGAGGCUAUAUACAGUAGAGAGGCUAUAUACAGUAGAGAGGCUAUAUACAGUAGAGGCUAUAUACAGUAGAGAGGCUAUAUACAGUAGAGAGGCUAUAUACAGUAGAGAGGCUAUAUACAGUAGAGAGGCUACAUACAGACACCGGUUAGUCAGGCUGAUUGAGGUAGUAUGUACAUGUAGAUAUGGUUAAAGUGACUAUGCAUAUAUGAUGAACAGAGAGUAGCAGCAGCGUAAAAGGGGGGUUGGGGGG
This 837-nucleotide long non-coding RNA is filed under the name Salmo salar (Atlantic salmon). Its description in RNAcentral is "lncRNA (ENSSSAG00000115434.1)". Lineage: Eukaryota; Metazoa; Chordata; Actinopteri; Salmoniformes; Salmonidae. The record is from RNAcentral.